Molecule: ribosomal RNA, 253 nt
Filed under: uncultured bacterium
Lineage: Bacteria
Description: partial 16S ribosomal RNA
Rfam family: Bacterial small subunit ribosomal RNA
Source: RNAcentral
UACGUAGGGGGCAAGCGUUGUCCGGAAUCAUUGGGCGUAAAGCGCGUGUAGGCGGUCCGGUAAGUCCGCUGUAAAAGUCGGGGGCUCAACCCUCGGAUGCCGGUGGAUACUGUCGGGCUUGAGUACGGAAGAGGCGAGUGGAAUUCCUGGUGUAGCGGUGAAAUGCGCAAAUAUCAGGAGGAACACCAAUUGCGAAGGCAGCUCGCUGGGACGUUACUGACGCUGAGACGCGAAAGCGUGGGGAGCAAACAGG